UAGUACCAUUACUGUAAGUUGCUCUGGAUAAGAGCGUCUGCUAAAUAACAACAA
Molecule: non-coding RNA, 54 nt
Organism: Salmo salar (Atlantic salmon)
Lineage: Eukaryota; Metazoa; Chordata; Actinopteri; Salmoniformes; Salmonidae
Source: Rfam